GGGAAUUAUUGGGCGUAAAGGGCUCGCAGGCGGUUUCUUAAGUCUGAUGUGAAAGCCCCCGGCUCAACCGGGGAGGGUCAUUGGAAACUGGGAAACUUGAGUGCAGAAGAGGAGAGUGGAAUUCCACGUGUAGCGGUGAAAUGCGUAGAGAUGUGGAGGAACACCAGUGGCGAAGGCGACUCUCUGGUCUGUAACUGACGCUGAGGAGCGAAAGCGUGGGGAGCGAACAGAAUUAGAUACCCUGGCAGUCCACGCCGUAAACGAUGAUUGCUAA
This 274-nucleotide ribosomal RNA is filed under the name Bacillus pumilus. RNAcentral's name for it is "partial 16S ribosomal RNA". It matches the Rfam family "Bacterial small subunit ribosomal RNA", at positions 547 to 819 of the family's 1533-position model. Lineage: Bacteria; Bacillati; Bacillota; Bacilli; Caryophanales; Bacillaceae. The record is from RNAcentral.